ACGUGCGCUUUGCAUCAUUAGAACCGCUUUUGUUCGCGUAUCCGGAUAUUGUCUUCUGGAUUCCCAUCUCUCCAAGAGUGUUCAGGGCCCUCCUGGUCGAGUUUCUUACUACUCCUGACUUCUCAGCCCAUGAUUUCUUUAGGAAUCACGCUCCAGCCAGCCGAUAGCUUUGUUGCCUUCACCCGUCACUUUCUCUGCCAGCCUUUGUUCUACAAUCAAGUGCUUUCCACCACUGGAAUCGCCGAAAUUUUAUGAUUCGGGUAGACAUCUUUUCUUGGAUGUGGCAAGUAUACCCUCCCAGCCGAUAGCUCCCACGUUUUCAACCGCCGUUUUCUUCGCUACUUUUGGUCGUACGAACUUACGCUUUGCAUCAUUCGAAUCGUCCAACUUUUUUCUAUACUCUCCCAGCCGAUAAAUUCCGACACCUUCAACCGCAACUUCUUCUGCUAGUGUUGGUCGUAUGAACAUGCGCUUUGCACUAUUCGAAUCGUCUAGUUUUUUCCAUCGAGAAUUCACAGCUUUUUGAUGGGUCGGCUGUGCAUUCGUUCGCUUUCAAUAGCUUCGCGAGACAAUGCUAACGUGGCCUCGGUGCACCUUGCCAACCGACGCCUUCAGUCUGCGAAGUCUCUGCCACUUUUGGUCGUACGAUUAAGCGCUCAUACCACUGGAACCAUCGAAUCCUCCUGAUCCCGGUUAUCAUCCCUUGGAUGCGACGCCGGCAAAUUCGCCGUCGUCUUUACCAUCGCGAUGACGCGAUGAUUCUUGGCAACGAAGCCUUCCAGGAACUUGACUUCUUCAAGCCCAAGCAGGCCAAGUUCAAAGCAAAACCUAAAUCUCGAUUGACAUCUCAGACGCUGGCGGAUUUAAACGACAACAUCCUCAUUAUUAAUACGAGAAUUCUAUUUAUCUCACACAGGAAAGCCAGGGCACACGACUUCAGACCAAUCCGCUGAACACCCCUGGUCAAGCGCAGACGUACCUUGAACAGCGUGCUCGAGGGGCAUAUAUUGCCUAGAUUUGUCGACCGGAAGCUGCUUUUGACCUGUCCGUCGCCACUCAAGUUCGGGACCCGAGCGACGACGACUGACAGCUGCUCAACAGAAGGCUGAAGUGGCAAAUCGAUAACCUUGGUCGGGGCUUACGAUACGUGCCUUUGGAUAUCAAGACUGCAAGGUUAUGUCGGGUCCUUUGUUAACAACAGGGACCUCCGUCCCAACUCGGUUUUGUCCUCACGCUCGUAAAUGAGUCUCGCUGGUCAGACGCAUUUACCAUCCAUGGCAAGAUCAUUCACUGGAGUUCUACCAAGUGUAGACAAGUUACAAGGAGCGUCUUGGCAUCAGAAAUUUACGGCAUGGUCAAUGGAGUGAAAAUCAAAAUUAUCAAUAGCCCAGACCAUUGGGAAGAUAGCUGAACGACUCGGGUUGCACCCAUUCCGUUGGUCUUCUACACAGACUCGUACUCACUGUACGAGUGCUUGGUAAAACUAGGGACAACGAAGUAGAAACGCC
Molecule: long non-coding RNA, 1508 nt
Filed under: Nilaparvata lugens (brown planthopper)
Lineage: Eukaryota; Metazoa; Arthropoda; Insecta; Hemiptera; Delphacidae
Description: uncharacterized LOC120356083
Source: RNAcentral